UACGUAGGGGGCAAGCGUUGUCCGGAUUUAUUGGGCGUAAAGAGCGUGUAGGCGGCCAGGUAGGUCCGCUGUGAAAACUCGAGGCUCAACCUCGAGAUGUCGGCGGAAACCAUCUGGCUAGAGUCCGGAAGAGGAGAAUGGAAUUCCUGGUGUAGCGGUGAAAUGCGCAGAUAUCAGGAAGAACACCCGUGGCGAAGGCGGUUCUCUGGGACGGUACUGACGCUGAGACGCGAAAGCGUGGGGAGCGAACGGG
RNAcentral lists this ribosomal RNA (253 nucleotides) under uncultured bacterium. RNAcentral describes it as "partial 16S ribosomal RNA". It matches the Rfam family "Bacterial small subunit ribosomal RNA", at positions 524 to 776 of the family's 1533-position model. The record is from RNAcentral.